Molecule: long non-coding RNA, 1092 nt
Organism: Synchiropus splendidus (mandarinfish)
Lineage: Eukaryota; Metazoa; Chordata; Actinopteri; Syngnathiformes; Callionymidae
Exons: 3
Source: RefSeq, a predicted model, not a curated record
UUGAGCUACAUACGGCGACUCCGGCUACUCAAGACGACACAACUGGGGUACAGCGACAGUCGCAGAAGUUCACCACCUGCGGAGCGUUGACCAAUCAGAGACCAGAUCCGCGAGUGACGUGUCCCGGCGGAGGAGAAGCAAAUCGCUGCGGUUGUUUACAAGCAGACUUUCCGCCGUCCUGAGAGUGGCUCAAAUCGUGCAUUUUUUCAUUUCCACCGGAACAUAAAUAGGAGGAAUCUUGUCCGGAGGGAAAGUUCGCCACAACGGUGGCGUUCCUGAUGAGACGUCCUGAAGGGUCUGUUUAUAUGAGGGGAGGACGGUGACCGAGGAGCGGAGUGGUCAGCGGCAUCUACUGUAGUGCCGUGAAGUGAGCGUUCUUCACCGCCCUCUCUCUUCUGGAGCCCUUCAUCUCCAAGAGAGACCUCGGCCAACAUGACUGGAGAGGCAGCAGCUGCUGCAGCAGCAAGGUAGCAGGACACCGAUGGAAGAGACCAACAGAGGAAGGGGUCCCCCGAUGCUGAAGCUGAGCUCAAACAUCUACUAAUGUACUCCCUCCACAAACCCAGCUCAGAAGAAGGGACAGUUUUCAAGGUCCUCGUUCCUUCCAGGUUCCACAUAAAUUUAAAAUGUACAUGUUACUUUACCAAGCAAAACAACAGCUGACUGAAACCAUUUGGACCCUUCAUUUAUUUUCUUUGUAGCCACAGUUUCAUUAAAGAACCGGAUGCCGCCCCACUUCCUCCGCCUCUCUUGACCCUCGUCCCUCUGAGGAAGAUCCUUCAAAACACACCUACGUAGUUCACUUCAAGUUUGACUGUGAUUCUGUGUGUAUUGAAUGAGUAUAAAUGAAUGGGGUUACUUUAUUUUUGCAAAUAAAGUGUUUGACAAUGAACAUUUAUUUUUGUGAAAAAUGGAUUCACAGAAAAAAAUAAAAUCAAAAGCACUUUGCAAAAUAUCAACAAAUUGAGUUGAACACAGCUUUGUUUUAUUGCAGAGAUGAAAUAUAUAUGCAAGAACCUAUGCUUUGUUAAAAUAGGUGGCUGACUCUUGAAUGAGCAAUUGUGUUGCACUGAUAACUGUUUUUUUUCCAAA